GCACGGUAGCGCAGUGGUUAGCACUGUUGCCUCACAGCAACUAGGUUGUGGGUUUGAAUCUGGCCUGGUGUA
Molecule: non-coding RNA, 72 nt
Organism: Gymnothorax javanicus (giant moray)
Lineage: Eukaryota; Metazoa; Chordata; Actinopteri; Anguilliformes; Muraenidae
Source: the annotation of a GenBank genome assembly